UACAGAGGUCUCAAGCGUUGUUCGGAUUCAUUGGGCGUAAAGGGUGCGUAGGCGGCGCGGUAAGUCGGGUGUGAAAUCUCGGAGCUUAACUUCGAAACUGCAUUCGAUACUGCCGUGCUUGAGGACUGGAGAGGAGACUGGAAUUUACGGUGUAGCGGUGAAAUGCGUAGAUAUCGUAAGGAAGACCAGUGGCGAAGGCGGGUCUCGUGGACAGUUCCUGACGCUGAGGCACGAAGGCCAGGGGAGCAAACGGG
This 254-nucleotide ribosomal RNA is filed under the name uncultured bacterium. RNAcentral's name for it is "partial 16S ribosomal RNA". It matches the Rfam family "Bacterial small subunit ribosomal RNA", at positions 524 to 776 of the family's 1533-position model. The record is from RNAcentral.